Molecule: ribosomal RNA, 495 nt
Filed under: Pseudomonas fulva
Lineage: Bacteria; Pseudomonadati; Pseudomonadota; Gammaproteobacteria; Pseudomonadales; Pseudomonadaceae
Description: bacterial SSU rRNA
Rfam family: Bacterial small subunit ribosomal RNA
Source: RNAcentral
AGUUUGAUCCUGGCUCAGAUUGAACGCUGGCGGCAGGCCUAACACAUGCAAGUCGAGCGGAUGACGGGAGCUUGCUCCUGGAUUCAGCGGCGGACGGGUGAGUAAUGCCUAGGAAUCUGCCUGGUAGUGGGGGACAACGUUUCGAAAGGAACGCUAAUACCGCAUACGUCCUACGGGAGAAAGCAGGGGACCUUCGGGCCUUGCGCUAUCAGAUGAGCCUAGGUCGGAUUAGCUUGUUGGUGAGGUAAUGGCUCACCAAGGCGACGAUCCGUAACUGGUCUGAGAGGAUGAUCAGUCACACUGGAACUGAGACACGGUCCAGACUCCUACGGGAGGCAGCAGUGGGGAAUAUUGGACAAUGGGCGAAAGCCUGAUCCAGCCAUGCCGCGUGUGUGAAGAAGGUCUUCGGAUUGUAAAGCACUUUAAGUUGGGAGGAAGGGUUGUAGAUUAAUACUCUGCAAUUUUGACGUUACCGACAGAAUAAGCACCGGCUAA